RNAcentral lists this ribosomal RNA (274 nucleotides) under uncultured bacterium. RNAcentral describes it as "partial 16S ribosomal RNA". It matches the Rfam family "Bacterial small subunit ribosomal RNA", at positions 523 to 796 of the family's 1533-position model. The record is from RNAcentral.
AUACGGAGGGUGCAAGCGUUGUCCGGAUUUAUUGGGUUUAAAGGGUGCGUAGGUGGCGUGUUAAGUCAGUGGUGAAAGGCUGCAGCUCAACUGUAGAGGUGCCAUUGAUACUGACAUGCUUGAGUAUGGACGAGGUAGGCGGAAUUUGUGGUGUAGCGGUGAAAUGCAUAGAUACCACAAAGAACACCGAUAGCGAAGGCAGCUUACUGGACCAUAACUGACACUGAGGCACGAAAGUGUGGGUAGCGAACAGGAUUAGAAACCCUAGUAGUCC